AGCUUUAUUUUGCCGUUCUUGCGUUUUGAGGUUGUAACUUUCGUUUAAGCAGACUUGUAAGUUUAAAUUCUUAAGGAUGAUUUAUAUUAUGUAAUUUUGAGUGAAGCGUGGUAAGUUGACAUGCGAUGAUAUAUGUACUAAGUUGAAUUGUUGGAUUAGUGAUUAUGUUUGAGUUAGGGUUUCAAUCCCCUGCAUUGUCAAAUGUUACAUUCGUUUCAUUGAUGAUAUUAGUACUUUGAACGACUGAGUCCUGGCGAGAGUUGGGCAGGCAGUCCGCUGAUACCCUAGGGUUUGCCCUAGGGAGAGGUGGGGCUGUCACAAUGGGAAGUUGUAGGUGCAGGCCAACUGGAUUUGUUCAAAGCUCUGGUCACUAAGUUUUUUCCUAUAAAAUGUUCACAUGAACAUUGGUGACGUGUUGUACAGUUGUUUCCUUUUGUAACCAUGAUUUACUAUCUGGGCAACUGAUAUUUUUGGGACCGUUUUCCAUUUGAAGAUGUGAUUUUCAUUUUUG
This 511-nucleotide long non-coding RNA is filed under the name Coffea arabica (coffee). RNAcentral describes it as "long non-coding RNA (CARA_LNC008353)". The record is from RNAcentral. Lineage: Eukaryota; Viridiplantae; Streptophyta; Magnoliopsida; Gentianales; Rubiaceae.